GCCGGGCGCAGUGGCACGCGCCUGUAGUCCCAGCUACUUGGGAGGCUGAGGCUGCAGGAUCGCUUGAGCUCAGGAGUUGUGGGCUGCAGUGCGCUAUGCCGAUCAGGUGCCUGCACUAAGUUCGGCAUCAAUAUGGUGACCUCCCGGGAGCGGGGGACCACCAGGUUGCCUAAGGAGGGGUGAACCGGCCCAGGUCGGAAACGGAGCAGGUCAAAACUCCCGUGCUGAUCAGUAGUGGGAUCGCGCCUGUGAAUAGCCACUGUACUCCAGCCUGGGCAACAUAGCAACACCACGUCU
This 297-nucleotide signal recognition particle RNA is filed under the name Bos taurus (domestic cattle). RNAcentral's name for it is "long non-coding RNA NONBTAT025041". It matches the Rfam family "Metazoan signal recognition particle RNA". Rfam says of the family: The signal recognition particle (SRP) is a universally conserved ribonucleoprotein. It is involved in the co-translational targeting of proteins to membranes. Lineage: Eukaryota; Metazoa; Chordata; Mammalia; Artiodactyla; Bovidae. The record is from RNAcentral.